AGUGAACGCUGGCGGUAGGCCUAACACAUGCAAGUCGAACGGCAGCACAGUAAGAGCUUGCUCUUACGGGUGGCGAGUGGCGGACGGGUGAGGAAUACAUCGGAGUCUACUUUUUCGUGGGGGAGAACGUAGGGAAACUUACGCUAAUACCGCAUACGACCUACGGGUGAAAGCAGGGGAUCUUCGGACCUUGCGCGAGUGAAUGAGCCGAUGUCGGAUUAGCUAGUUGGCGGGGUAAAGGCCCACCAAGGCGACGAUCCGUAGGUUGUCUGAGAGGAUGAUCAGGCACACUUGGAACUAGGCACGGGCCAGACCCCCUCGGGGGGGCAGAGGGGGGAAUUUUUGGCAAAGGGGGGAAGCCCUAUCCAGCCCAGCCGGGGGGGGGAAGAAGGGCCUCGGGGUUUAAAACCCUUUUUGUUGGGAAAAAAAACAGGAAGUUUAUACCCCCCUUUUUCGGCGUUACCCAAAAAAAAAAGCCCGGCUAACUUUGUG
This 492-nucleotide ribosomal RNA is filed under the name uncultured bacterium. Its description in RNAcentral is "partial 16S ribosomal RNA". It matches the Rfam family "Bacterial small subunit ribosomal RNA", at positions 29 to 507 of the family's 1533-position model. The record is from RNAcentral.